Molecule: non-coding RNA, 744 nt
Organism: Pelobates cultripes (western spadefoot toad)
Lineage: Eukaryota; Metazoa; Chordata; Amphibia; Anura; Pelobatidae
Source: the annotation of a GenBank genome assembly
CCAAACAUCAGCCGAAGUCAAGAAGAAGAGUACAAAAUGAACUGUCCUUUAAUGGGUACACACAGCUUUUAUGCAAGUCCCCAUGCAAGGGGACAGCCCUCAGGGAGGGACAAACAAUUACCAAUCACAGGCAGCAAAACGUUAACACACCCACAAUUCCCUCCUCUAGCCCAGGACAUAAUUUAGUCUGAUAAAAUAGUAACUUAAUUAGCUCCGGGCUGAAAAAUCAUUUUCCCCAACUUUCAGAACACCCCUUUAUACUGGGGGUAUCCCCAUAAAUGUGUCCCCUGAUAGCCCUGAUCUGGGUGACCAACAUAUUCGAAUUUCACCCAGAUCGAUUCAGGGGUUCGCAAAUUUUAUGGAAGUCUUGUGUGACCGGCUCACCCUGGGCUGCAUGCCCAAAACAGUUCCACGAAUUUGGUGGGUUUUGCCUGUCACUUUCGAAAAACAUAAAAAUGAUAAAAAUACAGAAUGGAUCCCUCUGGCUCCUAGCAGCGUUCGUGCCCCUCUGUCGAAUGCACCAAAGUACCGAAUAGCGCUCUUCUAGCUAUUCGGUAAAUAGAGUUCCAGCGUUCAUCUGUUUGGGACCGGUGUUCGGGAAGUCGAGUGUCCGUAAAACAGUUCCAUGCAACACAAACACACUCUGCAUUCAUUAUACACACACUACAUCCACAACACAAACACACUCUGCAUUCAUUAUACACACACUACAUCCACAACACAAACACACUCUGCAUUCAUUAU